RNAcentral lists this ribosomal RNA (488 nucleotides) under uncultured bacterium. RNAcentral's name for it is "bacterial SSU rRNA". It matches the Rfam family "Bacterial small subunit ribosomal RNA", at positions 501 to 989 of the family's 1533-position model. The record is from RNAcentral.
CUACGUGCCAGCAGCCGCGGUAAUACGUAGGUCCCGAGCGUUGUCCGGAUUUAUUGGGCGUAAAGCGAGCGCAGGCGGUUAGAUAAGUCUGAAGUUAAAGGCUGUGGCUUAACCAUAGUACGCUUUGGAAACUGUUUAACUUGAGUGCAAGAGGGGAGAGUGGAAUUCCAUGUGUAGCGGUGAAAUGCGUAGAUAUAUGGAGGAACACCGGUGGCGAAAGCGGCUCUCUGGCUUGUAACUGACGCUGAGGCUCGAAAGCGUGGGGAGCAAACAGGAUUAGAUACCCUGGUAGUCCACGCUGUAAACGAUGUCGACUUGGAGGUUGUUCCCUUGAGGAGUGGCUUCCGGAGCUAACGCGUUAAGUCGACCGCCUGGGGAGUACGGCCGCAAGGUUAAAACUCAAAUGAAUUGACGGGGGCCCGCACAAGCGGUGGAGCAUGUGGUUUAAUUCGAUGCAACGCGAAGAACCUUACCUACUCUUGACAUCC